AAUGAACGUUGGCGGCAUGGAUUAGGCAUGCAAGUCGAGCGAGAAGGCUUAGUUUGACGCUUCGGUUGAUUUCUAAGCUGGACAGCGGCGAAAGGGUGAGUAACGCGUAGUUACCUGCCUCAGGGUCUGGAAUAGCCUCGGGAAACUGAGGGUAAUGCCAGAUAAUAUCUCCGGAUCAAAGGUGUGAUUCCGCCCUGAGAGGGGACUGCGUCCUACUAGCUUGUUGGUGGGGUAAUGGCCUACCAAGGCUCCGAUGGGUAGCGGGCGUGAGAGCGUGGCCCGUCACACUGGGACUGAGACACUGCCCAGACACCUACGGGUGGCUGCAGUCGAGAAUCUUCGGCAAUGGACGAAAGUCUGACCGAGCAAUGCCGCGUGCGGGAUGAAGGCCUCGGGUUGUAAACCGCUGUCAGUUGGAGGAAGGCCCCGUGAAGAGCGGGGUUUGACCCAUCUUCAGAGGAAGUCCGGGCUAAGUUCGUGCC
This 482-nucleotide ribosomal RNA is filed under the name uncultured bacterium. RNAcentral describes it as "bacterial SSU rRNA". It matches the Rfam family "Bacterial small subunit ribosomal RNA", at positions 29 to 509 of the family's 1533-position model. The record is from RNAcentral.